GCUCUCUUCGGGGACAUCCGAUAAAAUUGGAGCAAUACAGAGAGGGUUAGCAUGGCUAGACCCAUGCACAAGGAUGACAUGCACAAAUUGAGUGCUGGUCCAAAGAAAA
This 109-nucleotide small nuclear RNA is filed under the name Solanum tuberosum (potato). Lineage: Eukaryota; Viridiplantae; Streptophyta; Magnoliopsida; Solanales; Solanaceae. The record is from RNAcentral.